RNAcentral lists this ribosomal RNA (508 nucleotides) under uncultured bacterium. RNAcentral describes it as "partial 16S ribosomal RNA". It matches the Rfam family "Bacterial small subunit ribosomal RNA", at positions 28 to 523 of the family's 1533-position model. The record is from RNAcentral.
GAUGAAUGCUAGCUACAGGCUUAACACAUGCAAGUCGAGGGGAAACGAUAUUGGAAGCUUGCUUCCGAUAGGCGUCGACCGGCGCACGGGUGAGUAACGCGUAUCCAACCUGCCCAUCACUUGGGGAUAACCUUGCGAAAGUAAGACUAAUACCCAAUGAUAUCUCUAGAAGACAUCUGAAAGGGAUUAAAGAUUUAUCGGUGAUGGAUGGGGAUGCGUCUGAUUAGCUUGUUGGCGGGGGAACGGCCCACCACGGCGACGAUCAGUAGGGGUUCUGAGAGGAAGGUCCCCCACAUUGUAACUGAGACACGGUCCAAACUCCUACGGGAGGCAGCAGUGAGGAAUAUUGGUCAAUGGACGAGAGUCUGACCCAGCCAAGUAGCGUGCAGGAUGACGGCCCUAUGGGUUGUAAACUGCUUUUAUAAGGGAAUAAAGUGAGCCUCGUGAGGCUUUUUGCAUGUACCUUAUGAAUAAGGACCGGCUAAUUCCGUGUCAGCAGCCGCCGUAA